Molecule: long non-coding RNA, 935 nt
Organism: Microtus oregoni (creeping vole)
Lineage: Eukaryota; Metazoa; Chordata; Mammalia; Rodentia; Cricetidae
Exons: 10
Source: RefSeq, a predicted model, not a curated record
ACAAGAUUGCUCAUGAUAAUCUCAGACUCAAGCAUGCAGGAAGUGCUUCUCCCCAACUUCUCAGAAGGUUUCACUGAAGACAUACUCACCACACCUAGCUGGUGAAUGUGGAGGCAAACCCUAAAAUUUUCUACCUGCAAGAUGAUGGAAUCCCUGUAAUAUGAAGAAUGAAUGAAGAGUAAUUCUUCUUCCAUGUAAAUAAGGGUCUCACAAGUUUGCUCAUUAUUAUCUCAGAAUCAGGAGUGGAGGAAGUGCUUCUCCCUAGCUUCUGAGAGGUUUCACUGAAGACACACUCAUCACACCUAGCUUGUGGUCCUCUUCUGACUUCCUCUCUGCAUCCCAAGAAGUUGACACUGGAGGAGACACCUUCCCUGAGUUUAAGCAUCUGACCGAGCUGUUCAGAAAGGUUCCAGUUCAAGCAGUAAUGCCAUCUUUCCUCUCUACAUUCCAAAACCUGACAAUGGAAGAGAACCCAUCCCUAAGUUUAUGGUACAUAUUGUUUCUACUGUGUGUCAAAUACAUUUGUUUACUCUUCCCUCUCUAGAUACUCCAGUAUUAGAGAUGAAGCAAGGAAUGAGUAUUUAGACUUGUAGUCUUCAUUUCACAUCUAACAUGUAACAAUCAACACCUAUUUUUACCUGUCACUUCAGGGAGGACGGUUUCAUCAGUACUGGAUUUCUUGUGGUUCUAUACAAACUUUAGAAAAACGUUGAACAUUGCAAGAAGAGAAUGGCAUAAAUGGAGGGUCUUACAAGCUUGCUCAUGAUAAUCUCUGACACAGGCAUGCAGGAAGUGCUUCUCCCCAACUUCUGAGAAGGUUCCACUGAAGACUCACUCACCACACCUAGCUGGUAUAAGAUUCCAAUGCAAGCCAUGCUUCCUCUUUGCAUCUCAAGAAGUUGACACUGGAGGAGACCUCUUUUCCUGAGUUUAAG